This 392-nucleotide ribosomal RNA is filed under the name uncultured bacterium. RNAcentral's name for it is "bacterial SSU rRNA". It matches the Rfam family "Bacterial small subunit ribosomal RNA", at positions 28 to 414 of the family's 1533-position model. The record is from RNAcentral.
GACGAACGCUGGCGGCGCGCCUAACACAUGCAAGUCGAACGGAGCUUAGAGAGCUUGCUUUUUAAGCUUAGUGGCGAACGGGUGAGUAACGCGUGAGUAACCUGCCCUAGAGUGGGGGACAACAGUUGGAAACGACUGCUAAUACCGCAUAAGCCCACGGUACCGCAUGGUACUGAGGGAAAAGGAUUUAUUCGCUUUAGGAUGGACUCGCGUCCAAUUAGCUAGUUGGUGAGGUAACGGCCCACCAAGGCGACGAUCGGUAGCUGGUCUGAGAGGAUGAACGGCCACACUGGAACUGAGACACGGUCCAGACUCCUACGGGAGGCAGCAGUGGGGAAGUCUUCCGCAAUGGGCGAAAGCCUGACGGAGCAACGCCGCGUGAGUGAUGACGG